CAAAAACAUUGCUUUCUGAAAAAAAUAGAAAGUAUCUCCUGCCCGGUGACCAAUUUAACGGCCGCGGUAUCCUAACCGUGCAAAGGUAGCAUAAUCACUUGCCUAUUAAUUGUAGGCUAGAAUGAAGGGAUGAACGAAGUAAACCCUGUCUCAACUAAAAAACUAAAAAUUACACUCUAAUUGAAGAAUAUUAGAUAAAGUCGAAGGACAAGAAGACCCUAUAGAGCUUUAUUUAUCCAACAAUUUAUUGUCAAAAAUUUGAUUGGGGCGAUCAAGGAUAUAAUAAUCAUCCUUUAUUAAAAGACAAAUUAGUCACACAAACUGAUCCUUUAUUAAGAUCAAGAGAAAAGCUACCUUAGGGAUAACAGGCUAAUUUUAUUAUAGAGUUCUUAUCAAUAAUAAAGAUUGGCACCUCGAUGUUGGCUUAGGACACUCAAUACGGCGCAAAAGUCAUAAAAGAUGGUUUGUUCAACCAAUAAUCUCCUACGUGAUCUGA
RNAcentral lists this ribosomal RNA (496 nucleotides) under Polytoreutus finni. RNAcentral's name for it is "partial 16S ribosomal RNA". It matches the Rfam family "Bacterial large subunit ribosomal RNA", at positions 1808 to 2608 of the family's 2925-position model. Lineage: Eukaryota; Metazoa; Annelida; Clitellata; Crassiclitellata; Eudrilidae. The record is from RNAcentral.